Molecule: non-coding RNA, 979 nt
Organism: Nylanderia fulva
Lineage: Eukaryota; Metazoa; Arthropoda; Insecta; Hymenoptera; Formicidae
Source: RefSeq, a predicted model, not a curated record
CAUACAUACCUCUGAACUCGCUCUCUCGAUCAAAUUUCUUCUCUGUAUGUUGCAGAGCCCGGCGGGCGGCGCGGAUUGUUCCAGAGAGAUCCGGUAGAGAUUCCGUCGUGGGCAGGCGCACGACGUACCGGCCAUCGGCGUUGCGUGUGUGGUACUGACGAUAGUGCUCCUCGCACUCCCGCUCGACCUUGGUGAAGAGCUGAGACGGCUGUCGAACCUCUUCCUGCUCCCAAAAGCGACGUACCAAACAGACCCUGGCGGAUGAUUAAUCCGUAGACGUCGGCGCCCAGCAGAAGGUCUACUGGAUCAGCGGAAUGGAAUUCUGGAUCGGCUAGCUCCAGGUCCCUGAGAUGUGUCCAGGAUUGCAGGCUUCGGCGGCAUCCUCCGGAGAAUAGAGUCAGCUUCGGCAAAAUCAAGGCGGAGACGGAGUUGGACGUCUCACCGUUGAGCGCUCGAAAGGUCUGGCUGCCUGGUUCCUGCCGAUGAUGGAUUGAAAGAGGUCUCGGAAGGACGGCCAGUCUUCGUACUUCCCGGCGAAGGUCGGUGGCUGGAUUUUUGGCAGCGCUGUCCGAGGAGCGGAGGUCGUUGGCGCGGCCGAGGUAGAGCUGGCUGCCUGCAGCCGCCGCUGGAGAGCGCUCUUUAGGUCGAGCAUGAGGCCCUUAUUCUGCAGCUUCUCGAGGUUUUGAAGCCGGGCCUCUACUGCGCCGAGGGUGAUGUUGGCCUCGCCGAGCUUCCGCAAGUUGUCGUACGCGCGCGAGAUCUUGCCGUAUAGUACCGUGGCGGUGGCAAUGAUCGCCUUUGUUUCUGCCAUCUCUCACACUGUCUCUCUUUUCCAGGGGCACUGGUCACCGACACUUAAUCACGAUCGCUUCCGUGGCACCGGAUUAACAGGAGGUUCCGGAUAAGUAUCCGGCUCGAAGGACCAAAAAAUGUGCACAACGGAUAGCGGGAAAGGGCGGUCGGAAGCGAGACGAUAGAU